RNAcentral lists this ribosomal RNA (305 nucleotides) under uncultured bacterium. RNAcentral's name for it is "bacterial SSU rRNA". It matches the Rfam family "Bacterial small subunit ribosomal RNA", at positions 334 to 656 of the family's 1533-position model. The record is from RNAcentral.
AUUUCCUACGGGACGCAGCAGUGGGGAAUAUUGCACAAUGGGGGAAACCCUGAUGCAGCAACGCCGCGUGAGUGAAGAAGUAUUUCGGUAUGUAAAGCUCUAUCAGCAGGGAAGAAAAUGACGGUACCUGAGUAAGAAGCCCCGGCUAACUACGUGCCAGCAGCCGCGGUAAUACGUAGGGGGCAAGCGUUAUCCGGAUUUACUGGGUGUAAAGGGAGCGUAGGUGGCAGGGCAAGUCAGAUGUGAAAACCCGGGGCUCAACUCCGGGAGUGCAUUUGAAACUGUCCAGCUAGAGUGCAGGAGAG